UGAUGGAUUGUGCAACUGCUUGCUCUCUGUCUAAAUCUCUCCCAUUCCGGAGACUUACUAUCAUCAGUUAAUUCAGGUUAUUCAGCUCGCAAUUUUCCUUGGGGCGGUUAUUUAAGGCCAUAAACAGCUGCCCAAAAUUGAGUUUCAAUGUUCUUUAUUGCUGAGUCAUGCACUGCCAACUUUUCUUGCAUCUUACUAUUUGUUCUAAUGAGUUGUUGAAUCAUACCCUUGAUUUCUACCAUGUUUCCAUAAUGUUGUUGCGGAGGUGGAUGAUAUGCCAACUGUGCUAGUUCUGCUGUGGAUAGCUCUAUUUUCUAUGAUACGACACCAUUUGUCCUUGGGGCUGCAUACCUUCAGGUUGUGGCAUGGUUGGUCUGUAUUGCUUAUUAGGUGCUGGUAUCCACUGUUGUCCUCCUUGUC
This 420-nucleotide long non-coding RNA is filed under the name Nicotiana benthamiana. RNAcentral's name for it is "long non-coding RNA (NBEN_LNC018523)". The record is from RNAcentral. Lineage: Eukaryota; Viridiplantae; Streptophyta; Magnoliopsida; Solanales; Solanaceae.